Molecule: ribosomal RNA, 255 nt
Filed under: uncultured bacterium
Lineage: Bacteria
Description: partial 16S ribosomal RNA
Rfam family: Bacterial small subunit ribosomal RNA
Source: RNAcentral
UACGGGGGGGGCAAGCGUUGUUCGGAAUUACUGGGCGUAAAGGGCUCGUAGGCGGCCAACUAAGUCAGACGUGAAAUCCCUCGGCUUAACCGGGGAACUGCGUCUGAUACUGGAUGGCUGGAGGUUGGGAGAGGGAUGCGGAAUUCCAGGUGUAGCGGUGAAAUGCGUAGAUAUCUGGAGGAACACCGGUGGCGAAGGCGGCAUCCUGGACCAAUUCUGACGCUGAGGAGCGAAAGCCAGGGGAGCAAAACGGGG